ACGAAGGGGGCUAGCGUUGUUCGGAAUUACUGGGCGUAAAGCGCACGUAGGCGGACAUUUAAGUCAGGGGUGAAAUCCCGGGGCUCAACCCCGGAACUGCCUUUAAGACUGCAUCGCUUGAAUCCGGGAGAGGUGAGUGGAAUUCCGAGUGUAGAGGUGAAAUUCGUAGAUAUUCGGAAGAACACCAGUGGCGAAGGCGGCUCACUGGACCGGUAUUGACGCUGAGGUGCGAAAGCGUGGGGAGCAAACAGGA
This 253-nucleotide ribosomal RNA is filed under the name uncultured prokaryote. Its description in RNAcentral is "partial 16S ribosomal RNA". It matches the Rfam family "Bacterial small subunit ribosomal RNA", at positions 525 to 777 of the family's 1533-position model. The record is from RNAcentral.